AAUAGAUACCCGGGUAGUCCACGCCGUAAACGUUGGAUACUAGGUGUGGCGGUUAUACCAAUGACUGCCGUGCCGAAGCUAACGCAUUAAGUAUCCCGCCUGGGGAGUACGGCCGCAAGGCUAAAACUCAAAGGAAUUGACGGGUCCCCGCACAAGCGGCGGAGCAUGCGGCUUAAUUCGAUGCAACCCGAAGAACCUUACCUGGGUUUGACAUCACGGGAAAAGCUGUAGAAAUACAGUGUCCAUUAGGGCCCGUGACAGGUGGUGCAUGGCUGUCGUCAGCUCGUGUCGUGAGAUGUUGGGUUAAGUCCCGCAACGAGCGCAACCCUUGUCCUAUGUUGCCAGCGGUUCGGCCGGGGACUCAUAGGAGACUGCCGGGGAUAACUCGGAGGAAGGUGAGGACGACGUCAAGUCAUCAUGCCCCUUAUAUCCAGGGCUGCACGCAUGCUACAAUGGCCGGUACAACGGGCAGCGACCCCGCGAGGUGAGCGAAUCCUAAAAAGCCGGUCCUAGUUCGGAUUGAAGUCUGCAACUCGA
RNAcentral lists this ribosomal RNA (537 nucleotides) under uncultured bacterium. RNAcentral's name for it is "bacterial SSU rRNA". It matches the Rfam family "Bacterial small subunit ribosomal RNA", at positions 777 to 1315 of the family's 1533-position model. The record is from RNAcentral.